Molecule: ribosomal RNA, 253 nt
Filed under: uncultured bacterium
Lineage: Bacteria
Description: partial 16S ribosomal RNA
Rfam family: Bacterial small subunit ribosomal RNA
Source: RNAcentral
UACGUAGGGAGCAAGCGUUGUCCGGAAUGACUGGGCGUAAAGGGUGCGUAGGCGGUAUGUCAAGUUGGAAGUGUAAUACCUGGGCUUAACUUAGGUGCUACUUCCAAAACUGAUGUACUGGAGUGUGGGAGAGGUAAGUGGAAUUCCUAGUGUAGCGGUGGAAUGCGUAGAUAUUAGGAGGAACACCAGUGGCGAAGGCGGCUUACUGGACCAUAACUGACGCUGAGGCACGAAAGCGUGGGGAGCAAACAGG